This 1719-nucleotide ribosomal RNA is filed under the name Salmonella enterica subsp. enterica serovar 6,7:-:1,5. RNAcentral describes it as "bacterial LSU rRNA". It matches the Rfam family "Bacterial large subunit ribosomal RNA", at positions 1 to 1569 of the family's 2925-position model. The record is from RNAcentral. Lineage: Bacteria; Pseudomonadati; Pseudomonadota; Gammaproteobacteria; Enterobacterales; Enterobacteriaceae.
GGGUUGUGAGGUUAAGCGACUAAGCGUACACGGUGGAUGCCCUGGCAGUCAGAGGCGAUGAAGGGCGUGCUAAUCUGCGAUAAGCGCCGGUAAGGUGAUAUGAACCGUUAUAACCGGCGAUACCCGAAUGGGGAAACCCAGUGUGAUUCGUCACACUAUCAUUAACUGAAUCCAUAGGUUAAUGAGGCGAACCGGGGGAACUGAAACAUCUAAGUACCCCGAGGAAAAGAAAUCAACCGAGAUUCCCCCAGUAGCGGCGAGCGAACGGGGAGGAGCCCAGAGCCUGAAUCAGCAUGUGUGUUAGUGGAAGCGUCUGGAAAGGCGCGCGAUACAGGGUGACAGCCCCGUACACAAAAGCGCAUGUGCUGUGAGCUCGAUGAGUAGGGCGGGACACGUGGUAUCCUGUCUGAAUAUGGGGGGACCAUCCUCCAAGGCUAAAUACUCCUGACUGACCGAUAGUGAACCAGUACCGUGAGGGAAAGGCGAAAAGAACCCCGGCGAGGGGAGUGAAAAAGAACCUGAAACCGUGUACGUACAAGCAGUGGGAGCCCCACCACUAAGCCAGUGGUGAACUCCACAUACGCAUCCUUUGCUGAAGGCAAUGGUUAACGGAGCGAAAGCGACGUUCAACCGCAAAACAAGCAGAGGGGGCUUAGUGGUGGGGUGACUGCGUACCUUUUGUAUAAUGGGUCAGCGACUUAUAUUCUGUAGCAAGGUUAACCGUAUAGGGGAGCCGGAGGGAAACCGAGUCUUAAUUGGGCGUUAAGUUGCAGGGUAUAGACCCGAAACCCGGUGAUCUAGCCAUGGGCAGGUUGAAGGUUGGGUAACACUAACUGGAGGACCGAACCGACUAAUGUUGAAAAAUUAGCGGAUGACCUGUGGCUGGGGGUGAAAGGCCAAUCAAACCGGGAGAUAGCUGGUUCUCCCCGAAAGCUAUUUAGGUAGCGCCUCGUGAAUUCAUCUCCGGGGGUAGAGCACUGUUUCGGCUAGGGGGCCAUCCCGGCUUACCAACCCGAUGCAAACUGCGAAUACCGGAGAAUGUUAUCACGGGAGACACACGGCGGGUGCUAACGUCCGUCGUGAAGAGGGAAACAACCCAGACCGCCAGCUAAGGUCCCAAAGUCAUGGUUAAGUGGGAAACGAUGUGGGAAGGCCCAGACAGCCAGGAUGUUGGCUUAGAAGCAGCCAUCAUUUAAAGAAAGCGUAAUAGCUCACUGGUCGAGUCGGCCUGCGCGGAAGAUGUAACGGGGCUAAACCAUGCACCGAAGCUGCGGCAGCGAACGUAUCACUUAAAGCGAUUCAGCGGGUUACGAUUGACGGAGCGAAGCGACGUCAAAGCGUAUACAAAGUCGAGUCGGUUUAAGGAUACGUUCGUUGGGUAGGGGAGCGUUCUGUAAGCCUGUGAAGGUGGCCUGUGAGGGUUGCUGGAGGUAUCAGAAGUGCGAAUGCUGACAUAAGUAACGAUAAAGCGGGUGAAAAGCCCGCUCGCCGGAAGACCAAGGGUUCCUGUCCAACGUUAAUCGGGGCAGGGUGAGUCGACCCCUAAGGCGAGGCCGAAAGGCGUAGUCGAUGGGAAACAGGUUAAUAUUCCUGUACUUGGUGUUACUGCGAAGGGGGGACGGAGAAGGCUAUGUUGGCCGGGCGACGGUUGUCCCGGUUUAAGCGUGUAGGUGUGUGUUCCAGGUAAAUCCGGUUCACUUUAACACUGAGGCGUGAUGA